Molecule: ribosomal RNA, 508 nt
Filed under: uncultured bacterium
Lineage: Bacteria
Description: partial 16S ribosomal RNA
Rfam family: Bacterial small subunit ribosomal RNA
Source: RNAcentral
GAUGAACGCUAGCUACAGGCUUAACACAUGCAAGUCGAGGGGAAACGAUAGAGAAAGCUUGCUUUUUCUAGGCGUCGACCGGCGCACGGGUGAGUAACGCGUAUCCAACCUGCCCAUCACUUGGGGAUAACCUUGCGAAAGUAAGACUAAUACCUAAUGAUAUCUCUAGAAGACAUCUGAAAGGGAUUAAAGUUUUAUCGGUGAUGGAUGGGGAUGCGUCUGAUUAGCUUGUUGGCGGUGUAACGGCCCACCAAGGCGACGAUCAGUAGGGGUUCUGAGAGGAAGGUCCCCCACAUUGGAACUGAGACACGGUCCAAACUCCUACGGGAGGCAGCAGUGAGGAAUAUUGGUCAAUGGGCGAGAGCCUGAACCAGCCAAGUAGCGUGCAGGAUGACGGCCCUAUGGGUUGUAAACUGCUUUUAUAAGGGAGUAAAGUGAGUCUCGUGAGACUUUUUGCAUGUACCUUAUGAAUAAGGACCGGCUAAUUCCGUGCCAGCCGCCGCAGUAC